GAUGAACGCUGGCGGCGUGCCUAAUACAUGCAAGUCGAGCGAACAGAUAAGGAGCUUGCUCCUUUGACGUUAGCGGCGGACGGGUGAGUAACACGUGGGUAACCUACCUAUAAGACUGGGAUAACUUCGGGAAACCGGAGCUAAUACCGGAUAACAUUUGGAACCGCAUGGUUCUAAAGUGAAAGAUGGUUUUGCUAUCACUUAUAGAUGGACCCGCGCCGUAUUAGCUAGUUGGUAAGGUAACGGCUUACCAAGGCAACGAUACGUAGCCGACCUGAGAGGGUGAUCGGCCACACUGGAACUGAGACACGGUCCAGACUCCUACGGGAGGCAGCAGUAGGGAAUCUUCCGCAAUGGGCGAAAGCCUGACGGAGCAACGCCGCGUGAGUGAUGAAGGGUUUCGGCUCGUAAAACUCUGUUAUUAGGGAAGAACAAAUGUGUAAGUAACUGUGCACGUCUUGACGGUACCUAAUCAGAAAGCCACGGCUAACUACGUG
This 497-nucleotide ribosomal RNA is filed under the name uncultured bacterium. RNAcentral's name for it is "partial 16S ribosomal RNA". It matches the Rfam family "Bacterial small subunit ribosomal RNA", at positions 28 to 507 of the family's 1533-position model. The record is from RNAcentral.